This 254-nucleotide long non-coding RNA is filed under the name Homo sapiens (human). Its description in RNAcentral is "HSALNT0343194". The record is from RNAcentral. Lineage: Eukaryota; Metazoa; Chordata; Mammalia; Primates; Hominidae.
GGGGGCUGUCUGUGAAGCCUUGUGGCAGUACAGCCUAGGUAAUUUGCUGAGCCAAAUGGGUGUCAGGGUCAGUCCAAGUGAAAGCGGAGAGGCUGGGAUGAAGGGUGCAAAGGAAUAGUAAAGAAAGCAUGUUUGAGAUCCAGAACAGAAUAAUGGGUUGUAGAGGGAGGUAUUGAGGAUAGGAGAGUAUAUGGGUUUGGCACCACAGGGUGGAUAGGCAAAACAAUUUGGUUGAUAAGGUGCAGAUCCUGAAC